This is a long non-coding RNA of Eupeodes corollae, 1030 nucleotides long. RefSeq lists it as uncharacterized. The record is from RefSeq and is a predicted model, not a curated record. NCBI's taxonomy places the organism in Eukaryota, Metazoa, Arthropoda, Insecta, Diptera, Syrphidae. The transcript has 2 exons.
AGUACCGGAAAGAAGGCAUUCCCAGGGCAUUCGGUGUCUCUGACUUGCCUGUGCCCGUACAACGUGUAAUUUGCUCUCACAUGACUGUGUUCUACCGCAUAGGCGAUAAAUUUCUGUGCAACUUCCAUCAUUGGUUUUGGUGCGUGGAGCAUGUGCACCAACCACACCGAAUCCACGGCCAACGUACACAUUCCCAUCACCACCGACGGCAAAACUAUAACCUAUAUCGUCCCAGCCGUGCCCAUCCAUGUGAAAGUCCUGCAUGGAUCUCAUGGCUGCCUUGCAUGCGUCCGUAGUAAGGCACACAUCCGGUAUGAAAGAGUGAUGAACAACAACAUACUCAACAGGACCAUGAAUGUGGGUUCGUCCUUUGGGUAGGCGAGCCGCCCACUCAUCGCGGCUUAUUAUUUCCCAGGACAAGGGUUUUUCGUUUGUGUUGAAGGCCGCGUAAACAAUAAAGCAAACUAUCAUCAGAAUUAACCAUUGUUAGUUGGCGAUCAGUGACUAGCUGAAUUAAAAUGUAUUUUUGUUUGUUUACUUGCUCCGACGGUCGUCACGAAGACGAUGAUGGACAGAAGGUAGAGACACUUGUUCAUUGUGGAACGAAACUAUUAUUACUACCCGAGACCGAACUGGCUCAAUUAUAAGUGACUAUUUGGAUGACUGACCAUGUUAAACUUGAAUUGAUAAGGAUGAUAAGGCGCAGAAGGCUGAUUCAGGUUCAGUAGGUGGAUCGGAUUCUGUUUUUGAAAGUUUUUGGACUUCCAUAUCUAAUCUUUGGCAUUGUAGCUGAUAAAUGUGGUAUAACUAUGUUUGUUUUUGUGUGUUCUUACACAGCGUGAUGAAAUAGUAAUUGAUAAAAAGUUUUUAUCAAUCAAAAAAUCAUGCUCAAAAAUGUUAUUUUAAAAGUCUAUUCAAGUGCUUUUUGUCUAUAUUUACCUAUUUGGCGCAAACAAAAAUACAUAGCGGCAAAUUAUUGUUAUGAGUGAAUAAAAAGUGUUAAAUCACAACUUAUCUGAUUGGAUAAAAA